GAAAGGUCAGCUAAUACCGGAUAAGACCACGACCUCCUCGGGGGUUGUGGCCAAAGGCGGCCUCUUCUUGAAAGCUGUCGCUAUGGGAUGAGCCUGCGGCCCAUUAGUUUGUUGGUGGGGUAACGGCCUACCAAGGCAAUGAUGGGUAGCUGGUCUGAGAGGAUGAUCAGCCACACUGGAACUGAGACACGGUCCAGACUCCUACGGGAGGCAGCAGUGGGGAAUAUUGCGCAAUGGGGGAAACCCUGACGCAGCGACGCCGCGUGGGUGAUGAAGGCCUUCGGGUCGUAAAGCCCUGUCGUAAGGGAAGAAAUCGUUGUCGAUUAAUACCCGGCAGCGUUGACGGUACCUUACAAGAAAGCACCGGCUAACUCCGUGCCAGCAGCCGCGGUAAUACGGAGGGUGCGAGCGUUGUUCGGAAUCACUGGGCGUAAAGCGCGUGUAGGCGGCUGUCUAAGUCUGGUGUGAAAGCCCGGGGCUCACCCCCGGAAGUGCGCUGGAAACUGGACAGCUAGAGUAU
Molecule: ribosomal RNA, 520 nt
Filed under: uncultured bacterium
Lineage: Bacteria
Description: bacterial SSU rRNA
Rfam family: Bacterial small subunit ribosomal RNA
Source: RNAcentral